UGACAGUGACAAAAAGGAAGCAGCCUUCUCUAGCCCACCCAAGUUUCCAUCAAAGGAGCAAGCCUAUGUCAGUAAGAAGAAAGCUGGCUAACCCUCCCACCCCUUGUUUAACUCCUCCAGCCCAUCCCACAUCAUUGUAGAGUGAAGAGACUGCUGUUAAUAUUCAGAAAGAGGCGCAGAGAACUGAAGGCUUUCCUGACUUGACACCGAAUAAUAACGAAGGCCUGUGUGCUUUGCAGCAGCCUCCACGUCACCCUCUUCCAGGGCUCCGUCAGAGGACUAACGAUAUGCCACAAGAUGAUUGGCAGCAAGACACACCCAGUGAUGAAGGGAUGUGCUCUCCUUAAAUCACAGCCUAUUCAUCAGGUACUCCUGAGUGCUGUGUUAAGAAAUCCUGCCUACAAAGUUCCACUGAGGCUGAUAUAAAGAUGACUGUGAGAAACUGGCUGCGGCUGUCUGAGCAGAGACAGGAAUGGGGGCAGCAAAGGCGGGACAAGCAAGCAUCUUAAGUGAAAUAAUUGAUUGGACUGAUUCUGGAGUAUGACUUAUUCUGGAGGGAAUUUCUUAUUUUUGUUGCAGUUUGCUAUGGGACGGUUUCAAGGACAGGGAUUAGACUAGUUCUAGACUAAAAUAAAUGUAAGAGCUGUCCAAACUUAAAACAACUUGCACUGACAUAUCAUAAAAUACAUCAGUGUCUUUUGUGAUGCUUCAAAAUGCACACAAGUAAUGUUUUUAUUAAGACAUGUUAUUAAAACUAGUUAUAUUUCAGAAUUAAACUAAGGCCUAGUCCCGGUUUAAGAUAAUCCCUGUCCGGGAAACCACCCCAAAGUGUAAUUUGUGGAGUGUUAAAAUAAAUGAAACUGCCUUUGCAAAAACAAAGUAAAAAAAAAAUUCCAGAUG
This is a non-coding RNA of Misgurnus anguillicaudatus (oriental weatherfish), 900 nucleotides long. The record is from RefSeq and is a predicted model, not a curated record. Lineage: Eukaryota; Metazoa; Chordata; Actinopteri; Cypriniformes; Cobitidae.